GGGGUCGUUUUUGGAUUUGACAGCGGUAGCGGUAGUCAAGUGUCAGCAUGCAGAGGGUUGGAGUGAACCUCUAUAAUAUCUUGCUUCGAACUAUAAUUGACAACACGUCAUACGCACUUGCUGCUUAAUUAACGGAAUGUUAAUUGGCUUAAUCGAUUUGAAGCAUAGUAGGAUCGACAAGUACUCUCUUCAAGCCUCUGCUCAUUAGGUUUGAUAUUCGAGAGUUCAAACUUUUGAGCUGGCAACUGUGACAAUUCUAAGCAGGUGUAAGACAACAGAAUUUAAGUGUUGAGCUUGGGUGUUCAUGUCCGUCUCUUCAUCGAAAACCAAUUAUGAACUAAGCAUGUAGAAAGCUUGAAAACUCAUCGUUUGGACGAGGGUUCGAACCCCUCCGACUCCACUU
Molecule: transfer-messenger RNA, 403 nt
Filed under: Crocinitomicaceae
Lineage: Bacteria; Pseudomonadati; Bacteroidota; Flavobacteriia; Flavobacteriales
Also listed under: 1 other name
Description: M0103 sp017984635 Standard tmRNA
Rfam family: transfer-messenger RNA
About the family: Bacterial tmRNA, also known as 10Sa RNA or SsrA, is named for its dual tRNA and mRNA-like properties. Its role is to liberate the mRNA from a stalled ribosome. To accomplish this part of the tmRNA is used as a reading frame that ends in a translation stop signal.
Source: RNAcentral